CCCUUAGAUGUUCUGGGCUGCACGCGCGCUACACUGGUGCGUUCAGCGAGUUUAGCACCUUAACAGAUAUGUUUGGGUAAUCUUCUGAAAACGCACCGUGAUGGGGAUCGAUUAUUGUAUUUAUUAAUCGUCAACGAGGAAUUCCUAGUAAGUGUGAAUCAUCAGUUCGCGCUGAUUACGUCCCUGCCCUUUGUACACACCGCCCGUCGCUGCUACCGAUUGAGUGGUCCGGUGAAUUAUUCGGACCGGUGGACUGUGGGGAAACCCGCGGCCUGCUGGGAAGUCUUGUGAACCUUAUCACUUAGAGGAAGCAGAAGUCGUAACA
This 325-nucleotide ribosomal RNA is filed under the name uncultured eukaryote. RNAcentral describes it as "partial 18S ribosomal RNA". It matches the Rfam family "Eukaryotic small subunit ribosomal RNA", at positions 1470 to 1796 of the family's 1831-position model. The record is from RNAcentral.